This 497-nucleotide ribosomal RNA is filed under the name uncultured bacterium. RNAcentral describes it as "partial 16S ribosomal RNA". It matches the Rfam family "Bacterial small subunit ribosomal RNA", at positions 28 to 507 of the family's 1533-position model. The record is from RNAcentral.
GAUGAACGCUGGCGGCGUGCCUAAUACAUGCAAGUCGAGCGAACAGACGAGGAGCUUGCUCCUCUGACGUUAGCGGCGGACGGGUGAGUAACACGUGGAUAACCUACCUAUAAGACUGGGAUAAAUUCGGGAAAACGGAGCUAAUACCGGAUAAUAUAUUUAACCGCAUGGUUCAAUAGUGAAAGACGGUUUUGCUGUUACUUAUAGAUGGAUCCGCGCCGCAUUAGCUAGUUGGUAAGGUAACGGCUUACAAAGGCGACGAUGCGUAGCCGACCUGAGAGGGUGAUCGGCCACACUGGAACUGAGACACGGUCCAGACUCCUACGGGAGGCAGCAGUAGGGAAUCUUCCGCAAUGGGCGAAAGCCUGACGGAGCAACGCCGCGUGAGUGAUGAAGGUCUUCGGAUCGUAAAACUCUGUUAUUAGGGAAGAACAAAUGUGUAAGUAACUAUGCACGUCUUGACGGUACCUAAUCAGAAAGCCACGGCUAACUACGUG